RNAcentral lists this ribosomal RNA (253 nucleotides) under uncultured bacterium. RNAcentral describes it as "partial 16S ribosomal RNA". It matches the Rfam family "Bacterial small subunit ribosomal RNA", at positions 524 to 776 of the family's 1533-position model. The record is from RNAcentral.
UACGUAGGUGGCAAGCGUUGUCCGGAUUUACUGGGCGUAAAGAGCGCGCAGGCGGCCAGGUCAGUCGAAUGUGAAAGCCCCCGGCUCAACUGGGGAGGGUCGUUCGAUACUGCCUGGCUCGAAGGUAGGAGAGGGAAGUGGAAUUUCAGGUGUAGUGGUGAAAUGCGUAGAUAUCUGAAGGAACACCAGUGGCGAAGGCGACUUUCUGGCCUAUUCUUGACGCUGAGGCGCGAAAGCUAGGGGAGCGAACGGG